UUUCCCCUCACUCCCUGCUUUUCCCUUUCUCCUUUGUCUUUGAAUGUUUUACUUACAGUUUGCUAUUUCCGAUUCCCCUACUUUCUUCUGGCUUCGGUCAGGGUCACCACUAAGGAAGCUUCAACAAUUUCUUGACCAGAAAAACAGGAAGCUUCAUCCACUCUAAGCUUUCCACUUGCUGAACAGUUCUCAGUUUUUUCGCGGGCAAGAGUGUCAGAAACAGCAAAACUGCAAGUGCAGAGUUGUCUUCGGGAAAAGAUAAGUUGCAUGAGAUGAGACAAGUUCAGGAGAUGGCUGUAGAGUUCGUCAAUGCCCUUAAUGCCGCCGCCGCCGCCGAGAGUGAAUGUGCUAAAUUGAGGAGGCUGCUGGAAGAAGAGAGAAAGCUUGUGCAAAGGCUUAAACAAGAAAAAGAAGAUGAAGCACAAAUGGCCAAGAGAAAAUUUGAAAGGAUGAGUCAACGAUUAGCAGAGGCUCAAAAAGAUGUUGAGUACGCUGCAACCAGAGCUGAUGUUGCUGAGAAUGAAUGGGUUAAGUUAAAGAGAGAAUUACGAGAAGCUCAAGAGCUUGUGCGGUUGCCAAGGCCAGAAAGUGAGGAGACAAGGCAAAUCGUCCUGAGACAGGUUGACAAAAAGAGCAAGAGCUAGCCAAUGCCCUUAAUGCUGCUUCAGUUGCUGAGAGUGAAUGUGAGAAAUUGAGGAUAACGCUGGAAGAAGAGCAAAAACUUGUCCAAAGGCUUAAACUUGAGAAACAUGAUGAGGCACAACUAGCUAAGAGACAAAUUGAAGGGAUAGGUCAAGAAUUAGCUGAUAUGCGAAAAAAUGCUGAGUAUGCUACUACUAGAGCUGAUGUUGCUGAGGUUGAGGUUUGAGUUGCGCGGUGUUAUGGAAGUCACUCUUAAGGAGGGAUAUGGAUAUUCUUGUUUUAAUUGGGUGAAAAAGCCAGUGGAGUUCCUUCCGGAUUCAGAGGAAGAAUAUGAUUCUCUUUGCAUUUUAUCAGUGCCUCUUUGAUAGGUUAGAUCCUUACAAUUUCUGCUUUCAUCAAUUGUCUGGACAAAAUUGACGAAGAUUUGGGAUCCAUCAAUAGUGAGAUCAUUCAAAUGAGGAUUAUUAUGAAUCAGGCUGGUCAAAGAUGUAGAGCAUUGAGGCAAUGUUACUACAAUUAUGAUUAUUCUGCUGCAAGGUGUCUCCAUUGCCAGUUUUCAUGAGUCAAAUUUGGUGAGGCCAUUUAUUUUUACUUUUGACCAUGGAUGAAUUGACUGCUCUGAUAAUGAGGUGUUCGCUUCUCCAAUGGUGCACCAUUUUGUUUUUGCUUUGUUUUGUUUUUGUUUUUGUUUUUGCAAGACAUCCAAAGUUUACCUUGAAAUCCAAGAUCUAACGGAAGAAAUUACAGAGCUAAAGAGGGGGAUAAAAAGGCAAAUGACAGGUGAGAAGAGACAUGGGCAUGAGAGAAUAGACUGAUAGAGAGAGGAGCUGAUAUAGAGAGCAGAGAGAGAUGACAGAGAAGAGAUUAGAGGGAGGAAAAUAUAGAGGGAGACACAGAAUCUUCUUCUUAAUAUUGUGGCAGAAGAAAAGAGAGAAGAAACCAAAUAUAAGGCAGAAAGGGUACUGAACAGAAAAACAAGAAUGAAUGGAUUAAGGCAAAGAAAGAGUUGCAAGAGCAGAGACAGCUUUUGCAAUUGCUAAAGCCAGAAUGUGAUGAGACAAGAAAAAGCGCCAUGAGACAAGUUGAAGAGAAGGAACAAGAGUUAGCCAAUGCCCUACUUGCUUCUGAAAUUGCUGAGCGUGAAUGUGCUAAACUAAAGAGAAUGCUGGAAGAAGAGCAAAAACUUGUACAAAGGCUUAGACAUGAGAAAGAUGAUGAGGUGCAGCUAGCAAGAGGCAAAUUGAAGAGAUUAAUCAAGAAUUAGCCCAUGCUCAAAAGAUGCCAAGUUAGCUCGAGAAGAUGCUGAUGCCGCUGAAAGUAAAUGGACUAAGGUCAAGGGAGAUGUGAAGAAUAUGGAAGAGCGUGUCAAAUUGCUGGAAUUUCAAUGCCAAGAGAUGAGAGAGAGUGUAAGUAGCCAAGAUGAAGAGAAGGCACUGAAGUUGGCCAAUGCUCUUAAUCCUUCUGCGAUUGCUGAGCAACCACAUAGCACACACAUACUGACAGCACAAAGGAAAAAGAUGAAGAAAUCAAACUCACUUAAUCAGCAACACUUGAAACAGAGGAAGGAAGAAGAUGAAGUCGGCCAUGUGCGCAGGGGAGUGAAGGAAUUCAAAUUCAGACGUCCGGUAACAGUAUCCCGGUUACUCGACGUCCACGCACGGAAAGAAACAAGGAGGAAGAAGUCUCGAGUUCUCUCGGAACCCACUAGCGAUCGACGACCCACCUGCACCCUCACUGGCGAACGAAAGAAAAAAACGAAAGGAAAGAACAGAGGCGGAGGAGGAUUUGGCGAGAAUAAGCUAUAGAGAAGGAACAAAGAAAAUGAAGAAGUAAAGGGGAAGAGAAGAAAUAUCUGAUGAUAUUAUCUGUGUUUUUUGUUUUUUUAAGGGCAUUAAAGUAAAUAUACAUAGUAAAAGAAAAUGGGACUCUAAUAUAUAUACUGAGAUAUUACAUAUGUUUUCCCAAAUUGUUUGAUAAGUAUUUACGAAAUUGAAUCAUAAAGAAGUAGCUAGUGUUUGAUUGAU
This is an RNA transcript of Prosopis cineraria, 2666 nucleotides long. RefSeq lists it as uncharacterized. The record is from RefSeq and is a predicted model, not a curated record. The transcript is spliced from 10 exons. NCBI's taxonomy places the organism in Eukaryota, Viridiplantae, Streptophyta, Magnoliopsida, Fabales, Fabaceae.